AGGGAAGCUUGCUUCCGCUGACGACCGGCGCACGGGUGCGUAACGCGUAUGCAACCUACCUCAUACUGGAGAAUAGCCCUUGGAAACGAGGAUUAAUGCUCCAUAGUAUCACAGAUUCGCAUGUUUUGUGAUUAAAGAAUUUCGGUAUGAGAUGGGCAUGCGUCCCAUUAGCUUGUUGGUGAGGUAACGGCUCACCAAGGCAACGAUGGGUAGGGGCCUGAGAGGGUGACCCCCACACUGGUACUGAGACACGGACCAGACUCC
RNAcentral lists this ribosomal RNA (264 nucleotides) under unidentified marine bacterioplankton. RNAcentral's name for it is "partial 16S ribosomal RNA". It matches the Rfam family "Bacterial small subunit ribosomal RNA", at positions 72 to 339 of the family's 1533-position model. The record is from RNAcentral.